AAAUUGAAGAGUUUGAUCAUGGCUCAGAUUGAACGCUGGCGGCAGGCCUAACACAUGCAAGUCGAGCGGUAGCACAGAGAGCUUGCUCUCGGGUGACGAGCGGCGGACGGGUGAGUAAUGUCUGGGAAACUGCCUGAUGGAGGGGGAUAACUACUGGAAACGGUAGCUAAUACCGCAUAACGUCGCAAGACCAAAGUGGGGGACCUUCGGGCCUC
RNAcentral lists this ribosomal RNA (215 nucleotides) under Klebsiella pneumoniae. Its description in RNAcentral is "partial 16S ribosomal RNA". It matches the Rfam family "Bacterial small subunit ribosomal RNA", at positions 1 to 216 of the family's 1533-position model. RNAcentral also lists the same sequence under 1 other name. Lineage: Bacteria; Pseudomonadati; Pseudomonadota; Gammaproteobacteria; Enterobacterales; Enterobacteriaceae. The record is from RNAcentral.